Jaculus jaculus (lesser Egyptian jerboa) is the source of this 481-nucleotide long non-coding RNA. RefSeq lists it as uncharacterized. The record is from RefSeq and is a predicted model, not a curated record. Lineage: Eukaryota; Metazoa; Chordata; Mammalia; Rodentia; Dipodidae. The transcript is spliced from 5 exons.
GGGGCCCCGGCGGUCCCCGGCACGGGCCCGCCGCUGUCGCGUGCUUCCAGAGCGUCCCCGUCCCCGGUAAUGAGCUCCCAGGGCCCGAGGAUCCAGGUUCAAUUCCCCAGGAUCCAGGACCUGCUAUGUGGCGUAAAACGGAUUUGGACACAAAUCGUGCCAUAACAGAGCUCAGUCUGGGUCCCAUCCCUCAAGUUCAUGUGGCAUGUGGAAGACUUUCCAGGACCAACGUCUCUAGCUCCUGCCUCCUCUGAUUGUCAAAAUUCUCUUUCACGGUACCCAAUUCUAAAAAGAUUCAGCGCAUCUGAGAGAAUGUGAAAGAUAGAAGUGGGAGAAUCACAGAUGACAAAAAAGAGAAUUCAGCAAAUUAAAAAUUUUACAACUAUCCAGCAACUCUGCAAAAAUGAUCUUCCCCGCGGUCUUUCAUUUAUCUCAUUAUCUGACUCCUAAUGUGCUUUUUCCCCCCUUUCUUUUCUCGCCA